GAUAAACGCUGGCGGCGUGCAUGAGACAUGCAAGUCGAACGAAGGAUCGGGCUUGCUCGAUCCUUAGUGGCGGACGGUUGCGUAACGCGUAGGUGUCCUACCCCGAAGUGGGGAAUAACUGCCCGAAAGGGUGGCUAAUACCGCAUGUGGUCGCACGUUCAUUCGUGUGAGUAAAGCCGCAAGGCGCUUCGGGAGGGGCCUGCGUCCGAUUAGCCCGUUGGUGGGGUAAUGGCUUACCAAGGCGACGAUCGGUAGGUGGUCUGAGAGGACGAUCACCCAGACUGGGACUGAGACACAGCCCAGACUCCUACGGGAGGCGGCAGUCGGGAAUUUUGCUCAAUGGGGGAAACCCUGAAGCAGCAACGCCGCGUGAGGGAUGAAGGCCUUCGGGUAGUAAACCUCUUUUGUCAGGGACGAUGAUGACGGUACCUGGCGAAUAAGCCACGGCUAACUACGUG
RNAcentral lists this ribosomal RNA (458 nucleotides) under uncultured bacterium. RNAcentral's name for it is "partial 16S ribosomal RNA". It matches the Rfam family "Bacterial small subunit ribosomal RNA", at positions 28 to 507 of the family's 1533-position model. The record is from RNAcentral.